CUAAAAUGGCAAAUAAAGUGGGACCAAAAAAAAUUCUAAAACAAUACUUGAAAUGGAACAGAGAGAGUAUUCUCUAGCAAAAUUUUAUUUUUUUAAUAUUUGUUACAAUUAUUAUAAAGUAAGUACAAAAUAUUAACCCAUAUUAAUUUAGCAAUUUUAAAGUAGGCAGACAUUAACCCAUAUUAAUUUCAAACCAGGAAAGAAAAAUCCAGUUAAUCUUAGUUAGAUAGCAGAAAUAGUACAGUUAUACCU
Molecule: unclassified non-coding RNA, 252 nt
Filed under: Hevea brasiliensis (rubber tree)
Lineage: Eukaryota; Viridiplantae; Streptophyta; Magnoliopsida; Malpighiales; Euphorbiaceae
Source: RNAcentral